This 1080-nucleotide long non-coding RNA is filed under the name Marmota monax (woodchuck). The record is from RNAcentral. Lineage: Eukaryota; Metazoa; Chordata; Mammalia; Rodentia; Sciuridae.
UUCCCGUUUGAAAUUAACACCAGGUAAGAUUACUGAAGAAAAUAUCAGUGAAGUCUAAUAUAGUAUGGGAGGCAGAAUGCUUUGUUAGCCUCCAAGUUUCCUAACUUCCAGUAUACAUCCCUCGUAAAUCGCCUUCCCUUGAGUGGGGUGAGAUCUGUGACUAUAAUGAGACAUGAUAAGUUUGUUAUAUGAUGAAAACAGUGAGAUAGUUGCUUCCAUGAUUACAUUAUAUUACAAGAUUCCAUCAUAGCAGACUGGAGAGAUGUUCUCUUGUUGACUGAAGAAGUAAGUUGCCAAGGAACAUAUGGCUAGGACUUGAGGGUGGCCUCUAGGAGAUCAGAGCAAAACUGCCAAUAGCCAUUAAGAAAGCAAGGACGAGAUGUCAGUACUAUAAGGAAUGAAAUUGUGGUAACAAUUAGUAUACUUGGAAGGGGACCCUAAACCUCAGAAACGUUUGCAGCCACAAUUGUUAUUCUGAUUUCAGGCUGGUAAGACUCUAAACAGAGAACUUUUCUAACCUAUAACUGUGACACAAUAAAUUUAUGUUUUUUAACCUUUGAGGUAAGUGUUUAUACAGCAACAAAAACCCCUAAUAUACAUGAUAGAAUUUACCCACAACGAAGCAAAGAAAUUAUAGGCUAAAAAUAAAAAUGAACAGAAUCUCAGUAUUACCCUGUAUCACCUAUGGGAUAAUUUCAUACUCUCUAACAUCCAUGUAAUUCGAAUCCCAGAAACAAGUGAAGAAGGGAAAGGGCAUACAUUUUUUUGAAAAAAUUAAAAGACUGAAAAUUUGUUCAACCUGAUGAAAAUUACUCUGACAGAUGUAAGCACUUGAGCAAACCCUAAGCGGGAUAAAAAUAUGUGUGUGUAGCACACACCCCCCAAAAGUAAAUCAUAAUCAAAUUACCAAAAAUCAAUAAUAAAAGGAACAAUCUUAAAAAGCAAUGAGAGGGGGGAAAACAUAUAAAAACGGAACAAAGAUAAGAAAAUUCAAGACUUUUCCUAAUAGGCAAAACAGAAAACAUGAAACAGAAGACAGCGAGAGAAGUGCAUUAUGUUGGGAACCGUGUCAUCAGCAAG